RNAcentral lists this ribosomal RNA (448 nucleotides) under uncultured bacterium. RNAcentral's name for it is "bacterial SSU rRNA". It matches the Rfam family "Bacterial small subunit ribosomal RNA", at positions 329 to 793 of the family's 1533-position model. The record is from RNAcentral.
UGCCAGACUCCUACGGGAGGCAGCAGUCGGGAAUAUUGCGCAAUGGAGGAAACUCUGACGCAGUGACGCCGCGUAUAGGAAGAAGGUUUUCGGAUUGUAAACUAUUGUCCACAGGGAAGAUAAAAGACUGUACCUGUGAAGAAAGCCCCGGCUAACUACGUGCCAGCAGCCGCGGUAAUACGUAGGGGGCAAGCGUUAUCCGGAUUUACUGGGUGUAAAGGGAGCGUAGACGGCAUGGCAAGUCAGAUGUGAAAGCCCGGGGCUCAACCCCGGGACUGCAUUUGAAACUGUCAGGCUGGGGUGCAGGAGAGGUAAGUGGAAUUCCUAGUGUAGCGGUGAAAUGCGUAGAUAUUAGGAGGAACACCAGUGGCGAAGGCGGCUUACUGGACUGUAACUGACGUUGAGGCUCGAAAGCGUGGGGAGCAAACAGGAUUAGAUACCCCCGUAC